AUCACCGCCCCUUUCUCUUUUCCUCUUUUCCCCUGCCAUGACAUUUUAUUUCUCCGAGCCGGAAAUUCUAAUAAACCACUAUUUCGUAUCAUGUUAUUAAAAGGGAUAAAUGAGUCCGCACUCCUUAAAGAUCCUCCAUCUUUUUCAUGAUUUCCAGUAAUCUCAUUUAGAUCGCCAAUAAUGAACCAUGGUUCGGACCGCACCAGACCAUAUCUAGUUAAACGCUCCCACACUUGUUCCCUCAUGUCUUGAACUGGAUCCCCAUAUACAAAAGUAAGAUAAACCUUUUUGCUUAGAGCCUUCGCUUCCACAUCAAUCAUUCGGUUACUAGAAUAUAAUACUUUAACUUGAUACUCAUUAUUGUAAAAAAGCGCUAAUCCCCCACUUCUUCCCACUGGGUCCAGUGUGACCAAAUUAUCAU
This 421-nucleotide long non-coding RNA is filed under the name Brassica napus (rape). RNAcentral describes it as "long non-coding RNA (BNAP_LNC009850)". Lineage: Eukaryota; Viridiplantae; Streptophyta; Magnoliopsida; Brassicales; Brassicaceae. The record is from RNAcentral.